RNAcentral lists this small nuclear RNA (64 nucleotides) under Microcebus murinus (gray mouse lemur). Lineage: Eukaryota; Metazoa; Chordata; Mammalia; Primates; Cheirogaleidae. The record is from RNAcentral.
GUGCUCACUUUGGCAGCACAUAUACUAAAAUUGGAAUGACACAGAGAAAAUUAGCAUGGCCCCU